UCCUUUUUUUCCCCUUUAGAAGUAAAAGUCGUAACAAGGUCUCCGUUGGUGAACCAGCGGAGGGAUCAUUACAGAGUUACUACUCCAAACCCAUUGUGAACCUUACCUAUGUUCUGUUGCCUCGGCGGCGUGGUCAGCGCCCCUCUGAAAAGAGGACGAUGCCCUCCCGCCGGCAGCACCAAACUCUUGAAUUUUACAGCGGAUUACAAUUCUGAUUUGAAAACAAAAAACAAGUUAAAACUUUCAACAACGGAUCUCUUGGUUCUGGCAUCGAUGAAGAACGCAGCGAAAUGCGAUAAGUAAUGUGAAUUGCAGAAUUCAGUGAAUCAUCGAAUCUUUGAACGCACAUUGCGCCCGGCAGUAAUCUGCCGGGCAUGCCUGUCCGAGCGUCAUUUCAACCCUCGAACCUCCGUUUCCUUAGGGAAGCUCAGGGUCGGCGUUGGGGCGCUACGGCGAGUCUUCGCGACCCCCGUAGGCCCUGAAAUACAGUGGCGGUCCCGCCGCGGUUGCCUUCUGCGUAGUAAGUCUCUUUUGCAAGCUCGCAUUGGGUCCCGGCGGAGGCCUGCCGUCAAACCUAUAACUUCAGAUGGUUUGACCUCGGAUCAGGUAGGGUUACCCGCUGAACUUAAGCAUAUAUC
This 638-nucleotide ribosomal RNA is filed under the name Scedosporium boydii. RNAcentral describes it as "eukaryotic LSU rRNA". The stretch from base 239 to 392 matches the Rfam family "5.8S ribosomal RNA". The record is from RNAcentral. Lineage: Eukaryota; Fungi; Ascomycota; Sordariomycetes; Microascales; Microascaceae.